UUAACUCAAAUUUGUAGGGAGCUGGAACGUUUGCCUACGUUUGCCGCUAGGGGCGCUGUUCCAGCUGUAUACAAAUUUAAGUUA
Molecule: non-coding RNA, 84 nt
Organism: Bombyx mori (domestic silkworm)
Lineage: Eukaryota; Metazoa; Arthropoda; Insecta; Lepidoptera; Bombycidae
Source: Rfam